UACGUAGGGGGCGAGCGUUGUCCGGAUUCAUUGGGCGUAAAGAGCUCGUAGGCGGUUCAGUAAGUCGGGUGUGAAAUCUCCGUGCUCAACACGGAGCGGCCACCUGAUACUGCUGUGACUCGAGUCCGGUAGGGGAGUGUGGAAUUCCCGGUGUAGCGGUGAAAUGCGCAGAGAUCGGGAGGAACACCCGUAGCGAAGGCGGCACUCUGGGCCGGUACUGACGCUGAGGAGCGAAAGCGUGGGGAGCGAACAGG
Molecule: ribosomal RNA, 254 nt
Filed under: uncultured bacterium
Lineage: Bacteria
Description: partial 16S ribosomal RNA
Rfam family: Bacterial small subunit ribosomal RNA
Source: RNAcentral